RNAcentral lists this long non-coding RNA (919 nucleotides) under Ananas comosus (pineapple). Its description in RNAcentral is "long non-coding RNA (ACOM_LNC031243)". Lineage: Eukaryota; Viridiplantae; Streptophyta; Magnoliopsida; Poales; Bromeliaceae. The record is from RNAcentral.
AUUUAUUAAACAACUUGAACACGAACUGGUUGGUUAAAAUAUCAAGUUAAAAAAUUCUAUGUAUAUUCGACUUAUUAUUUAUUAAUAACUCGAAUACGAGUCGAUUUGUGAACAGCAAGUUAGAUUGUCGAGUCUACUCAAAAGGAAAGAGGACACGGCGUGAAAUUGGAGUGGAUGGGGGCGCAUGCGGAUUCGCGGCUGUGAAAGAAAAGCGUCCUCCAAGUAGUAGGGCCGUCAACGAGUGGUACACGAGCACGCUAGGACCGGCUCGUGUUCACUUGUUUAUUAAACUAGUCGAACGCAAGCUGGUUUGUGAAAAUAUCGAGUAGAAAAAUUUAGCUUAUGUUUGGCUUAUUUAUUAAUAACUCGAAUACGAGUCGAUUUGCAAACAAUAAAAUAGAUUUUCAACUCUACUACUAGAUGAAGAGUUACUAGAUGAAGAGUUGAAAGGGAAGAGGACAGAGUGGGAAAUGGGAACUGAUGGGGGUGCAUGCGGAUUCGGGGCUAUGAAAGAAAAGCGUGCUCCAAGUAGUAGGGCCGUCAAUGAGCCGAACACCGCAAGCGAGGACCAGCAUGUGUUCGCUUGUUUAUUAAACAAGCUGAAUAUGAGCUGGUUUGUUAAAAUAUCGAGCAGAAACCUUCAGCUUAUGUUCGACUUAUUUAUUAAUGACUGGAAUACGAGUCAUUCGCGAACAAUAAAUUAGAUUGUCAGCUCUACUACUAGAUAAAAAGUUGAAAUGGAAGAGGACACGGCGUGUACUAUCCCUGAGGUUUAAUUGCUGGAAUGACUAUAGAAUUAGUGACUGGUCGACAUGUCUGUAAAGUGUCGGAACGAGUCGGAGUCAUUUGGCGUAAAUUGGAUGCGAAAACUGACUCGACGCACUCAAAUAAGUCAAAACUGAAGUUCUAGCAAUUUAGG